AUGGCCAUCAAAACAGCCACUUUAACUUUAUUGCAGGCGGUUCCCAGCUAUAGUGAAGUGUUGUCCUAUGUCCUCCCAAACAGCAGAUUUGACUGGUUCCCGAACGGUUGUCUGGCUAUUCAGUCACCAUGGUGACAAUCGAGGUGAUCAGGGAGGACAAUUAGAUGUUUGUGGGGAAAAUUGUGACCCUUUUUAUCAUAUUCCCCAAUUUCUUUCCUCCGACCCCACCGCUCUCCCAGUCUUCCCCACCAGCAUCUGAUUGCAAAGUAGUCCUAUGAUCUCCUAUGCGUCCUCUCUGAUCUCUCCAUCCACUGUCACCGUAGCAACUGAAUAUAGCCAGACAGCCGUUCGGGAACAUCUCAUUUGGGACGAUUGUCAUCGCCAGAUGCAUCACACAGGUUCAUUGGACUCACAAACGACAACAAGACAACCGGGUCUACAGCAACAAGACGUCUCUUACGUGAACUAUAGUCUAAUUCGGCAUCCUUCCAAGACGUUACAUAGAUUCUGCGGUUCUUUACUCCUUAAAGAGUUGAUCUCCUAGACGGAGAAUGACGUUUUAUACGCAGUCGAACAUCCUAACCGCAGACUGACGUAAGAAGAGGUCGGUGCGGUCAAGACGCAGCAGUAUUUGUUUAGCGGGAGAUCAGUGGGGACGUCCCGCCCAUAUCUCUCCCUCUCCCCGCUAGUCACGUGCUCCGCCCACCUGUUGGUCAGGUUGCGGUACUGUGGCGGUGGUACGAGCUGAGCGCGUCGCUGUGUGCGUGUGUUCGCCGUCUGUUCGCGUCAUGACGACGUAAUAAUCGCAUCAAGAGGUACGGAGUAACUGUCGGGAUGGGGGUUAGCGUGUCGCGGCGGAUCGAAGCCCGUACCAGGCAGGUCCAGCAGGCGACUCAGGUUGUUGCGGCGUUCCGCGAGGCGUCGUCCGAUGGAAGCAAGCAGUUUACCUCGCCGGUGCCGACCGCCGAGGAGGGGAGUAGGCGCGGGCCGGGCGAGGCGGACGGGCGUGAGGUGGCUUACACGGACACGUCCUCCGCGUGGGCCAUGUUACAGACGGGGGUACAUCCCAAGGACAUAAACGUCGGCGCUCUGCCGAAAAAGAUUCUACGUAACGUCAAGAAUAACAAGCCCCGUGGCAGGAGCAACGGGAAGGUGCACAACAGUACCCAGUGGGACAACCACCAAGAUAACACUAUCGUCAUCCCAUACGAAACUACCGAACAGGUAGAGUCGGACGACUUGUGCUCGGUGUGCGGAGUCUACACUGGGAACGAGAUCUAUCCAUGCAGAGUCUGCUCCAAGGUGUACCAUGAGAUCUGCUUACAGAAGAUCGGGCAGUGCCAGGGUAGAGAAGCCCUCAACCUGCUGUUGCGAGCCAAGACCAACAUUGGGUGGAGCUGCCAUGAAUGUGAAACUCUCGGUCCCCUUCUAACAGAGGAGGAAAUGCAAGACUUGAUAGAUGCCUUCGAGAGAUGCGACAUCAACAAAGACUCCUCACUAUCUCUAGAUGAAUAUCUGAACUACAGACAAAAGACGAUGGAAGAGUUGGACAUCCGCUUAACUGAGGAGGAACUUGACCGAGAGAGGGCAAAGUUCAAGGUCAUGGAUGUCAACCAAACGGGCACCUUGGAUUGGUGGGAGUUCCUCAACUUUGAGGCUGUCCGCAAACUUGGCAGAAGAAGUAAGAACACCUUGGUGCGCCUUCUGUCUGCGAAGGAGAUUGAUAUGGCAAGACAAACCUUUCGAGCCUUCGAUGACAACAACGACGGGAGAAUCACAGAGUUCGAGGCCAGAGAGACCUACAGUAGAUGGUUUGCACGCUUUGUAAAGAAGGAGACUGGUGGUGAUGGGCCUGAACAAAAGAAGACCGCUUCUCUGGAUCUCCAUGUCGACACAAAUGCCCGGAUGUUGAUGGCCGCAGACACAAAAUCUACAGGGACCGUGACGUGGAUGGAUUUCCUCCGUGACCAGGCCCUGUACAUCCUGGCAGCCCGGCCCAACCUGCCCAACUUCCCGCCCGUCAAACAGGCAUGGGAGGCCAACAAAAGAUGAACGUGCACUGAACAUGCCCACUCCCUUGUAUACACCUUUCUCACGGGGCGGCCAUGAUAAUAGAUCCAAACCGAGGCAAUGUGGAAAACAAAAGACUGUCCAUCAUAAUUAGCAGUUCAACCAAUGACAGCAUGGCAAUUAGGAAAUCAACCAAUGGCUGCAUGUCUGUCAAAUACAGUAUGCAUUUAUCAUAUUUGUAUUUUGGAUCUCUUCAGGCACUAUGGGAUCAUGAUCAGUCAAUGCUAUUCUAAAUUGCUACAUCUUUCGGUGCAUAACACUAGUUCUAAAAUUUAUCAUUUGAUCUUAUAUUGUGAAAAUUUGUG
RNA transcript from Branchiostoma floridae (Florida lancelet), 2375 nucleotides. It is a transcript of the gene named PHD finger protein 24-like, with no coding region annotated. The record is from RefSeq and is a predicted model, not a curated record. The transcript is spliced from 9 exons. NCBI's taxonomy places the organism in Eukaryota, Metazoa, Chordata, Leptocardii, Amphioxiformes, Branchiostomatidae.